Molecule: long non-coding RNA, 347 nt
Organism: Mustela lutreola (European mink)
Lineage: Eukaryota; Metazoa; Chordata; Mammalia; Carnivora; Mustelidae
Exons: 2
Source: RefSeq, a predicted model, not a curated record
CUCAGGCUUGGGAAGGUUUGAGACUUGCCUUGAACACACUCAGCUGGGACGGUCAGAGCAGGGUUCGGACUCAGGUCACGGGCCAACACAUCAAAAGGCACCCUGCGGGGAGAGGAAGGAUGACUCUGCACCUUGGCCCCCUCCUGCCUCCCACGGAAGAGCUGAAGUCUAGUCCCGGAUGUCGUGGCCAGCAGCAGCCCUGCCAGUCCUCAGGAUCCUCAAGGAUCCCGUCCUCAGAAGCCACUUCGUCACAAUAAGUCCACGUAUGCACAGAGCAAAAGACAACAUGAGGUGCUUCCUUUGUUCAUUGACCGAAACCCAGAAAUAAAUACGUAAGUGUAUACUUA